Molecule: ribosomal RNA, 437 nt
Filed under: uncultured bacterium
Lineage: Bacteria
Description: bacterial SSU rRNA
Rfam family: Bacterial small subunit ribosomal RNA
Source: RNAcentral
CAGGCCUAACACAUGCAAGUCGAACGAUACCUUUCGGGGUAUAGUGGCGCACGGGUGCGUAACGCGUGGGAAUCUGCCCUGGGGUUCGGGAUAACCGUUGGAAACGACGGCUAAUACCGGAUGAUGAUGAAAAUCCAAAGAUUUAUCGCCCUGGGAUGAGCCCGCGUCGGAUUAGCUAGUUGGUGGGGUAAAGGCCUACCAAGGCGACGAUCCGUAGCUGGUCUGAGAGGAUGAUCAGCCACACUGGGACUGAGACACGGCCCAGACUCCUACGGGAGGCAGCAGUGGGGAAUAUUGGACAAUGGGCGCAAGCCUGAUCCAGCAAUGCCGCGUGAGUGAUGAAGGCCCUAGGGUUGUAAAGCUCUUUUACCCGGGAUGAUAAUGACAGUACCGGGAGAAUAAGCUCCGGCUAACUCCGUGCCAGCAGCCGCGGUAAU